GAUGAACGCUAGCUACAGGCUUAACACAUGCAAGUCGAGGGGCAGCACGGAGAUAGCUUGCUAUCUUGGGUGGCGACCGGCGCACGGGUGAGUAACGCGUAUCCAACCUGCCCAUUACUCUGGGAUAGCCUUGCGAAAGUAAGAUUAAUACCGGAUGUUGUUAAAAACCCGCAUGAGUUUUUAACCAAAGAUUUAUUGGUAAUGGAUGGGGAUGCGUGACAUUAGGUAGUUGGUGAGGUAACGGCUCACCAAGCCUACGAUGUCUAGGGGUCCUGAGAGGAAGGUCCCCCACACUGGAACUGAGACACGGUCCAG
RNAcentral lists this ribosomal RNA (315 nucleotides) under uncultured bacterium. RNAcentral's name for it is "bacterial SSU rRNA". It matches the Rfam family "Bacterial small subunit ribosomal RNA", at positions 28 to 334 of the family's 1533-position model. The record is from RNAcentral.